RNAcentral lists this long non-coding RNA (1624 nucleotides) under Carica papaya (papaya). Its description in RNAcentral is "long non-coding RNA (CPAP_LNC014580)". The record is from RNAcentral. Lineage: Eukaryota; Viridiplantae; Streptophyta; Magnoliopsida; Brassicales; Caricaceae.
AACCAAGGUUUGGUUAAAUUGUAAGACAGUAAGCAUUCAGACAAGAAACAAGGAUCUUUCUGUGGUGUUUGCUACUACAAAAACAAAGAAGCAAAACAAGCCUCAAUGCAGUUAACGAGUCAGUCAUUAGGAAGGAGUUUUUUAUGGCAGUGGUUUUGACUGCAAUUAUCAAAGGCUCUGAUUUGAUCUAAAUUUACAACAGUGUGGUGAAUUAGAUUUGCCUUUAGUUUGUACAGAAAUAUUCAAUAUCUAAGAACUUGUCAUAUACUAAUCUUUGUAAUGCGUUAGUGUUAUAUUUUUAUGGCAAUCUAAGAGAAGAAUAAGUUGGACUUUUAAAUUAGGAAGUUUGUAACUCAUAAUAUGAUAGAUUCCAGUCAGAAAUAUAAAAAAAAAUUAAUAAAGAACUUGUGAGAAUAAACUACAAGAUCUUAGGUUCAAAAAUUGUCCUCGUUCAUUGCUGCUUAGGAAGAGUUUAAAUACAAUAAAAAUACAACUGCUAAUUCCUACUUUUAAGCAAUAAGGAUAAUGGAACAAGAUCAUGAAACUAAGAAAUAGGAUAAUGGCUUCAACUGCUUGCUGAAAAUGGGAUAAUGGCUUCAACUACUUGCUGAUCGAGUCUACCACAACUGCUGCCCACCCUUUUACUGCUGAGAUACUUUGGGUGUGUAACAUAACAUCCAAUAAUAGAUGUAGUAAUGAUAAACUAUUAUUGCAACUAUUAAAUAAAAACAAUAUAUUUCAGCAACUCAAGGCAUUUAAGAAAUUAGAACAUCCAAUUUAUAAAUCAUAAUUGUUUUCAUUUGAAAUCAUGUUAAGGCAUAUCUAUCGGGGGGAAGAUACAGAAGCUGCCAACUAGUUUAUAUCUCAAAGGGCGUAUGAACUGGAGAUUUUAUUUAUCAUGUUUAAGUCACAUGAUGGUGAGUUCAGAUGCAUAACAAUCAGGCAUAUCAACAAGAGCAGUAGCAAUCUAUGAAAGGUCAAUAAGAUCAAAUCAAUUACACAACAGUUGUCCAUUCAUUGUGCCUAAUCUGCAGCUUGUUAUUGAAUAACUAGGAAAUUCAACCAUGAAAGACUAGUGGUGUUACGUUAUCAUGAUGACUUAGCUUGCUUGUUGAUGAGUAGAGCUCUACUUGCACUUCCACAAAGGCAGCACUUUUGUUACUUCAGUAUGUUUGAAUGACUUGUAAAUCUGAUAAAAACUUGCUUUGAAAAUCCAUUAAUGCAAGUUACUUCCAUCUAAGUUGGGUUCCCUGCAAAACCUCCAAGCCAGCCAGACUCAGCGGUGAAUGUGCAUACCUGUAGAUAUUACCAAUUUAAGGGGUGGGCCAUAACUGAACUCUUUUUGUGUAAUUAUGAUCAGGAAGAAGUUGAUUGUGGCAUCAUUGUCAGUUAAUAUGUUGGACCAUCCACACCCAAAAAAUUCCAAUUUCUUCAUUUACUUCUAUUCUGAUUUUCUUCUCUUGCAAUGAAUAUAGAAUUGACUUCCUAUCAACUGCACUGACUGGGAGGAUCAAAUCUUGUGUAUGCUGCAACCUGCAUCCUCUAAUGUCAUGUUCUCCUUCCAGUUCUCGUAUUUGGAUCCACCAAAGGUCAAUUGCUUAAUCCCAAUAAAGCUGUUAAAAUC